AUUAAUCAAUCGUCAUCGGAUCACACUCAUACAAUUGCUUUGGUAAUAGCUUUUCCGCUAAAAAGACCAAAAAAGAUAAAAGUUAUGAAACAAGCUACUAGGGAGAGGACAGGUUGGUAAUUUUAGAAUAUUGUCCGAAAGAAAGGAUUAAAAGCAAUCGUCGUCACUUGUUAUGUAUCACCGGCGUCAUGAGUCGUGACCCAACAAUGUCAUCACAUCAUCAAUAUAUACUCCCCUCGGACUCGGUGCAAUGGCUCAUCUGAGUAAAUCUUCUGAAAUCCUGUCUCCGUCAGAUCCACCAUCUAGUCUUUCGAAUCUUGCUGAGGAUUAGGUAUACUACAGUCGUAGAUCUUGAAUCUAAGCCCGUAACCGUAACUGGGUGUUCCUGUUUUGGGUUUGAUUGGAUUGUUGUUGGUGAAGGAGAGAGAGUGGUGGGAAUUAGGGAUUUAGUAGUAGCUUCGAAAGGUGUAAAUUAAAGAAGGGACAAAUGAUGAUAGGAAGAAAGCAUCUUUAAUGGCAGAUUGUGACUAAUUGGUGUUGCUUGAUUUCUCCGCAAGGAUGCAGAUCAUUGGUCUACAAGUUUUAGGUAGUACGUAAGUGAGUCUCAUUUUGGUUGAUGAGAAAAUGUGAGGGAAUAGAUCGCAGAGAAUCCACUAUUGGGAAAGAGCUUUGAAGGAUUAACAUCGUUAUAAAUUGGUAUUGGAACUGAACGAACAAGUGAAGAUCAGCAAUUCUGAUGUGUAUUGUCACUUCAACCCUAGCUAUUGGGAUUAACUACUUCUUUAUCUAGAGUUUUGGGAGAAUAGUUAUCGGUUAACGAGGGUGCCGGCUCCAAAUUCAGGUGUAACUAAGCUAUAUCAAAAGAAAGGGAUGAAUGUAAAUGACCCCUCUGAUAGAAAAGAAGAAGAAGACCAGAAUAAUCGGGUGUUAUGCCCACUAUUACAUCUGUAAGUCGAUUGUUUCUGCUGGAAAGUCACUGCAGCAUAUUCCUGUCACGUCUUCAGAAGUUUCUGGAAAGAUUCGGUACCAUGGUCGAAAUGGUUUUGGGAAGUUGGACAGUGCCAUACUGACUGAAAAGAACAGCUUUAGAAGCACUGCAGAAUUACCCUUGUCUGAAAUCUUUUUUCGAUCACUUGUUGGCAAUGGUGAUCAUGUAUCUAGAUCAUCUGUGGAAGGAUGAGGUGAAUGAGUGGGAGAUCUCUCCAACUUUAGCAGCAUAUAUAAGUGGAGAGCUGGUGAAUGGCAUGGGUGAUAAACAUCUUCCAGUUCUCACCUACUCAGAUCCAAUGUGGUAUAAGUUUUUGCCAAAAGGAGGCUGCAAUUCUAAAGCGACAAUUACAUAACUUGCAAGAAAACCACCGGUAUGUUUUGCAUCCACUUAGUUUGUCAAACACCACUUUUUUUAUAACUCUUUACAAAAACUUUGUUCUCCCUGCAAAAAAAGCUUUGUAACUCCUGGUUUGGAGCUUAAGCCAAUGAGUAGUUUGAUAAUCAUAGAAAUGAGUGUUUUCACAUAACCUUGUAGACUUCCGUUGCAUUCUUGUUUUCUCAUCCAAAUCAAUUUGUGAAAGUGUGAGUUAGUUAGCACUUAGCAGUAAUAAAAUGUGAUGUUGAUAUAUCUUAUAGAAAGUAAAUUCUUCAA
Molecule: long non-coding RNA, 1642 nt
Organism: Capsella rubella
Lineage: Eukaryota; Viridiplantae; Streptophyta; Magnoliopsida; Brassicales; Brassicaceae
Exons: 2
Source: RefSeq, a predicted model, not a curated record